Molecule: small RNA, 499 nt
Filed under: Arabidopsis thaliana (thale cress)
Lineage: Eukaryota; Viridiplantae; Streptophyta; Magnoliopsida; Brassicales; Brassicaceae
Description: ATSL062380
Source: RNAcentral
AUUUGGUUAAUCUCUUAUUCUUCUUUAAGUUGUUCACCAAACCCCUACUGAUAUAUGAUCAAUACUCAACCACCUUUUGUUUUUGUCCCAAUUAUUUGCAUUAUGGCCUUGAAUGUUUUGUAGAUUUUGUAAGAGUUUUUGGAUUUUGUUUUUCAAAAACUUAUUUUCAUACCAAUCAAAAUUUUAAAAUUUUGGUUUUCCUACAAUUUAGAAAAACUAUUUUUGUUGUAGUUUUCCAUUCAUGAUUUUAGUUUUUUAGUUUUCCUAAAGUUAGAAAUCUAGUUUUUACUCCAUCAACGUUAUUUUUAAAACAAAAAUAUAUUAACAAAAAUCUAAAACUAAAAUCUAAAAUCUAGAAACUAAAAUCUAAAUCCAAAAACUGAAUCGAAAAUCAGCAUCCAUUCAGGGCCUAAGUUACUAACCACGUUAAAAACGAAAUUUAAACCCAUGAAACUUGAAAUAGCGUAUCACCGAAAUUGUUGGUGUUGGGGAUGAAAAU